RNAcentral lists this ribosomal RNA (572 nucleotides) under uncultured bacterium. RNAcentral's name for it is "bacterial SSU rRNA". It matches the Rfam family "Bacterial small subunit ribosomal RNA", at positions 202 to 795 of the family's 1533-position model. The record is from RNAcentral.
AAAACUCCGGUGGUGUGAGAUGGAUCCGCGUCUGAUUAGCCAGUUGGCGGGGUAACGGCCCACCAAAGCGACGAUCAGUAGCCGGCCUGAGAGGGUGACCGGCCACAUUGGGACUGAGACACGGCCCAAACUCCUACGGGAGGCAGCAGUGGGGAAUAUUGCACAAUGGGCGAAAGCCUGAUGCAGCGACGCCGCGUGAGUGAAGAAGUAUUUCGGUAUGUAAAGCUCUAUCAGCAGGGAAGAAAAUGACGGUACCUGACUAAGAAGCCCCGGCUAACUACGUGCCAGCAGCCGCGGUAAUACGUAGGGGGCAAGCGUUAUCCGGAUUUACUGGGUGUAAAGGGAGCGUAGACGGCGAAGCAAGUCUGAAGUGAAAACCCAGGGCUCAACCCUGGGACUGCUUUGGAAACUGUUUUGCUAGAGUGUCGGAGAGGUAAGUGGAAUUCCUAGUGUAGCGGUGAAAUGCGUAGAUAUUAGGAGGAACACCAGUGGCGAAGGCGGCUUACUGGACGAUAACUGACGUUGAGGCUCGAAAGCGUGGGGAGCAAACAGGAUUAGAUACCCUGGUAGUC